This 310-nucleotide long non-coding RNA is filed under the name Gallus gallus (chicken). Lineage: Eukaryota; Metazoa; Chordata; Aves; Galliformes; Phasianidae. The record is from RNAcentral.
AGUGGCAGUUCUUGUGGUGCGGGGAUGCGGCCACAUGAUGGCGCUGUCGGAAACGGCCUGAGAGAUGAAGCGCUGCAGGUGCUGCCGCCUUUUUGUGGGUGGGCCAAGGACUGGCCUGAGUCCUGCUAAAUAACCUGUUUUGGCCGAACCUCUUGUCCCUUAAAAAGUGCUACUGAGGUAUCAUCACUCCCCAGUGGUUCUCAUUCUCAGAAGAUAGUCCACAGUCAAAGAAGCCAAAGACCCCGUCUGUGACAUCAGCAUAUGCCCAGACUUUGAUCUGCAGGACUCAUCCUCCUCAGCUGCUAAAGCC